CAUACUACUAGUACAUACUAGUACUACUUCUGGUAUUACUAGUACCAGUAGUACGUACUAGUACUUGUAGUACGUACUAGUUGUACUAGUAUUA
This 94-nucleotide transfer RNA is filed under the name Amborella trichopoda. Its description in RNAcentral is "tRNA AMTR_s01747t00273850". Lineage: Eukaryota; Viridiplantae; Streptophyta; Magnoliopsida; Amborellales; Amborellaceae. The record is from RNAcentral.